UUUAUGCUUCCUGACCAGCCACUAUGAGAAGAGUUUUGUCUCAUGCUCCCGUGACUAUGAGCUACAUCCUGCCUUUUUUACCACAAGGGACGGGACUCUCUCCGAAACCAUGAGCCAACAUAAAACUUGUCUCUGGUAAGAUGUGUCUGUCAGAUAGAUAUCAGGGUCUCAGGGACAUGAAAGCAGCCAAAGUAAGGGCUUUAGCUUCUGAUGUUUCUCCCCAGUCCUACAUGUGGAACCCAGGGAAAUCCAUGCACGCUAAGCAAUGGUUCUACUGCUCCACCAUGUUCUCAAUCCCCAGAUUUUAUCUUUUUAGUCAAAGAAGUCACAGGUGUGGGGACAAAUGAUUGCACUGCCAGCACUGCCAAAGCCGUAACUCAGAAGAGCUGUCUGAAGAUGGUGAGAUGAAGUCAUUUUAGGUCCUUUCUGUGGUGGUCCAAAAGCUUCUGAGAGACACGAUAGGGGAGGAGCGGCAGGAAGAUUCUUCCUGAGCUUGGUUGGGAGCCCAGCUUUCUGAUCCAAUGCCCUUUUUAUUUUAUUUUUUUUUUUGGUGGAGAGGUCAGUGGGGAAAGGGAUUCGAAAGAAGACUAAUUUGGAAUUGUCCUUUCCAAAUGGCAAGAAAAACAUCACAUUUCUCGCCUCAUCCUGAUGUUAUGUAGCAGGAGUAGAUCCUGGGAGACGAAGACACCACAUAAAAAUUCUGUCUGUUCUUCCCGUGCUCAUUUUUCCAGUUGGUUUUCACAGGAAUGCUGAAAAUGCUAACCACUCCUGGGAUUCCCUGAUGUCUACUUCAGUGCUCGUGGUGUCUGAGUCUUCACACAUCCUGAAGAGCUGGAAGCAAUGGAGACAGAGGUAGGAAGCCAAACUGGGAGGGAGAUACGAAAGAGCGGAGUCCACAAACGUGGCUAUAAGGAACUCUUCUGAGGGAUGGUCUUCUUCAUCUAUCAGAAGAGCUGGAGGUGAAGAAUCCAAGUUUCUCCAGAAACCACAGCUGGCCCUUCUUACCAUCUUCUUUUUGGUUGUUAAUCACCCCUCAUCUCUUAGUCAAUAUGAGAUGUCACUUCAAGGAGGGACAGGAUCAUAGAGGAGGCAUUUCUGGAACCUCUGCCACCAAGAAGGAAAUCAGCACUCAUCUCAAGGAAGUGAGUGUCGACGCUGAAGGAAACUCAGCAAGGCUGGUCCAGUGCCUUCUCUGGAAAGGUGGCAGGAGCCUGAGGGAAUGUACUCAUGGGCUCUGAGCUGAGAUCAUCAGGGGUUCUGGGUACCUUGGUAUGUGGUGACGAAGCCUCUGAGGAGACCAUAUCACCAUCCAAGUCCGGUGCAGCUGGCCCACUCACUUACACAUAACUUGGCUCCUACUGGGAAGUCACCAGACCACUUCCUUAUCCCGGGAAAGACUGUACACCUGACCACAGCCUUGGGCUCACAGGGAAAUGUCCUCACUUCUGAGUCUGCAAUCCACAGGCAUGCAGCAUGGCCUAUUUCCAACUUCGCUCCAUGC
Molecule: long non-coding RNA, 1501 nt
Filed under: Rattus norvegicus (Norway rat)
Lineage: Eukaryota; Metazoa; Chordata; Mammalia; Rodentia; Muridae
Description: partial HAfT8 variant X2
Source: RNAcentral